Molecule: long non-coding RNA, 2248 nt
Organism: Heterocephalus glaber (naked mole-rat)
Lineage: Eukaryota; Metazoa; Chordata; Mammalia; Rodentia; Bathyergidae
Source: Ensembl
AUUUAUUUAUUUUUAUCUUUUAAAAAUUUAUUUAUGGUUCCAGAAUUGAUCCCAGGCUCUUUGUUUUUUUCUUUUCGGUACCAGGGAUCGAACUCCGGACCUUGUGCUUUUGAGGCAGGCAGCGGAACCACUGAGCUAAAUCCCCAGACCCAGCUCUCAGGCUCUUUGCACUGAGCUACAUUUCCAGUCCUGUAAAAACAUUUGUUUUCAACACAGGGUUUUGCUAAGUCACUAAAUUGCCCAGGCUUGAACUUGGGAUCUUCCUGCCUCAGCCUCCCAGAGUGCUGGAAUUACAGGCAUGUGCCACCACGUCUGCCCUGAAGUAAUACUACAGGAUUUUAUUUUAUUUUAUGUAUUUGUUGAUUUGUAGUAUGCAAGGUUGAACCCAGGCUGAGCAACACCCUCAGUCCUUUGUUCACACUUUAUUCUGAGACAGUCUCAGUGAGCUGCUAAGUUGCCCAGGUUGGGCUCAGAAUUGUGAUGUCCUCUGGCCCUUCGUCCCACAGUGCUGGGGCCACCACGUGCGCCACACACCUGGCCUAUGGGUUUGUCCCCCACCCCUUUUUCUUCUGGAUUGAUCAUCUGGGUAAACGCUUCUUAACAUCGGAUCUUUCACGAGAUGAGUUAUCUGUCCCUUGUCCCCUUACUGUUCUCUUGGUUUUCUUUCAUUUGCUUGUUGAUCUGCAAAAGCUCUUUUAGUAUCCUAGACAUUAAUCUCAUGCUGAGCAGUCACAGUCUCUGGUCUGUGAUUUGUGAUUAACUUUGUGCAUGGUAUCUUUGGCUGAACAUUAGUAUUUAAGGGAGUGAAAUCCAUCUUUUUUUUCCCUUUUACUCUGAGCUUCUAUAGAUGUUCUGCAUUGUUUUUUUCUGUUCAUUUUAUGAUUUAACAUUACUACUUCUCAGGCAUGGUGGUGCGGGCCCUGCAAUCCCAGUACUUGGGAGGCUGAGGCAGGAGGAUUGCUGCAAGUUUGAGGUCAACCUGUGCUCCGUAGUGAGUUCAAGGCCAGCCUGGACUACAUAAUGAGACCCUGUUUAAAAAAUCUCAAAAAACAAAUAAACAAAAACCAGGGCUGGAAUUUAGCUCAGUGGUGCCACCACCUGUCUCGAAAGCACAAGGUCCUGAGUUUGAUCCUCAGUACCAAAAAAAACCCUCCAAAAAACAAAACAAAACCAAAAACCACAUUGCUACUAUUCAUAGAUCUUUUUCUAUAUACAUAUCAAUGCAUAUAUGGUUUGCUUGUUUGUUAACAAAAAUAGAAUAUAACAGUCCUAUGUAUGGGCCAGGGAUUUAGCUCAGUGGCACCUAGUCUGCCUUGAAAGCUCAAGGUCCUGAGUUUGAUCCCCAGUACCAAAAAAACUCAAAGAAACAAUAAUCCUAUGUAUGGUUAGAGAGCUUUGUUUGUUCUCCACCAAAAUGUGUGAAUAGUGUGUAGUUCUCUGACUCAGAUUGCACUCAUUCUUUUUUCUGGCUGCAUAGUAUUCUCACUUAUGAACACAUCAUAAAUUAUUUAUUGAUGGAAAAUUGACAUCACAACAAAUGUUGGAUGGUUAUUCAGCAUUUUUGUUUGGGGGUGUUUUUGUUACCCGGGAUGGAAAUUAGGACCUUACUCUUGCCAGACAGGCACGGUGCCACUGAGCUAUAUCCCUGGCCCUUGUUUGUUUUGAGAUAGAGUUUGGUGGCCUUGCCCUGGCUGGUCCCAACCUGGGCUUACAUGUUCCCACUGCCUCGGCCUCCUCAGUAGCUGGGAUCACAGACCCAAACGCCACUCAGCCUUCACAGCACUGUUAGAAUGAAUUACUGUAUGCAGAGUUACUUGUUCAGAGAGCACACAUUUACUUAUCUUUGACAAGGCAGCCCUGCCUGUGGAAGAAGUGACAGGAUCUGAGUGUGGGCACCCUUUGCCCCCGGCUUUGUGACUGACUGGCUUUUCCUGAGAUGGCGUGACUGAGGCCUGUGUGGGGUUUCAAUGGGAAAUAAAUAACUGGUGAGUACAUGGGUCAGGCAGCUCCCGCACCAGUGCUAUACUUGCAGAGACUUUAGAUACUGUUAUUUACAAGAUCAUAACGCUACAUAGCACUGCAUUCAAUUCCGAGCGUGUGCUCUGCACCAUUUCCUUUUUAUUUUGGGGUCUCGAUGUGUAGUUCGGGCUGGCCCUGAAUUUAGUAUGUAGCCCAGGCUGGCCUCGAACUUGAGGCUGAGGGGGGGAGAACUGAAAGUUCAAGCCCAGGAUGGACAAUUUAGCAAGCC